This is a small nuclear RNA of Pteropus vampyrus (large flying fox), 107 nucleotides long. NCBI's taxonomy places the organism in Eukaryota, Metazoa, Chordata, Mammalia, Chiroptera, Pteropodidae. The record is from Ensembl.
GUGCUUGCUUUGGUAGCACAUACACUAAAAUUGGAACGAUACAGAGAAAAUUAGCACAGCCUCUGCACAAGGAUGACAUGAAAAAUUGUGAAGCAUUCCAUAUUGUG